This 82-nucleotide transfer RNA is filed under the name Bacillus thuringiensis. Its description in RNAcentral is "tRNA-OTHER". It matches the Rfam family "tRNA". From Rfam's summary of the family: Transfer RNA (tRNA) molecules are approximately 80 nucleotides in length. Their secondary structure includes four short double-helical elements and three loops (D, anti-codon, and T loops). The record is from RNAcentral. Lineage: Bacteria; Bacillati; Bacillota; Bacilli; Caryophanales; Bacillaceae.
GCCGAUUUAGCUUAGUGGUAAAGCGAUUAGGAGUACUCGUUAACAUGACUAUUGGACGCAGGUUCGAUUCCUGCAUUCGGCU